UGAGUAACCUGCCCUUCACUCUGGGAUAACUCCGGGAAACCGGGGCUAAUACUGGAUAUGACUCGAACAGGCAUCUGUUUCGGGUGGAAAGAUUUAUUGGUGGAGGAUGAACUCGCGGCCUAUCAGCUUGUUGGUGAGGUAAUGGCUCACCAAGGCGACGACGGGUAGCCGGCCUGAGAGGGCGAUCGGCCACACUGGGACUGAGACACGGCCCAGACCUCCGUACGGGAGCA
RNAcentral lists this ribosomal RNA (233 nucleotides) under uncultured bacterium. Its description in RNAcentral is "partial 16S ribosomal RNA". It matches the Rfam family "Bacterial small subunit ribosomal RNA", at positions 118 to 347 of the family's 1533-position model. The record is from RNAcentral.